RNAcentral lists this ribosomal RNA (94 nucleotides) under Lactarius hatsudake. Its description in RNAcentral is "partial 28S ribosomal RNA". Lineage: Eukaryota; Fungi; Basidiomycota; Agaricomycetes; Russulales; Russulaceae. The record is from RNAcentral.
UUUGGGAGUGUCUCCCUUCUCGGGAGACUCUCUCGACCCCACGAACCCUUGACCUCAAAUCGGGUGAGACUACCCGCUGAACUUAAGCAUAUCA